UGCAAGUCGAGCGUGAAAGUUCCUUCGGGAAUGAGUAAAGCGGCGGACGGGUGAGUAAUACAUGGGUAAUCUUUGUCCGAGCUCGGGAUAACCCCGCGAAAGUGGGGCUAAUACCGGAUAAGACCACGUAACUCAGGUUACGUGGUAAAAGGCGGCUUUAUUUUCGGAUAGAGCUAUCACUUGGGAAUGAGCCCAUGUCCUAUCAGCUUGUUGGCGAGGUAAAAGCUCACCAAGGCUAUGACGGGUAGCUGGUCUAAGAGGACGGCCAGCCACACUGGGACUGAGACACGGCCCAGACUCCUACGGGAGGCAGCAGUGGGGAAUAUUGGGCAAUGGGCGAAAGCCUGACCCAGCGACGCCAUGUGGGUGAUGAAGGCCUUCGGGUUGUAAAGCCCUGUUAGGUGGGAAGAAGGGCUUUCGGGUGAAUAAUCCGGAAGUUUUGACGGUACUACCGAAGAAAGCACCGGCUAACUCCGUGCCAGCAGCCGCGGUAAUACGGAGGGUGCAAGCGUUGUUCGGAAUUACUGGGCGUAAAGGGCGUGUAGGCGGUUGUGUAAGUCAGACGUGAAAUCCUUCGGCUCAACUGAAGAACUGCGUCUGAAACUGCAUGACUAGAGUGCAGAAGAGGGAAACGGAAUUCCAGGUGUAGAGGUGAAAUUCGUAGAUAUCUGGAGGA
Molecule: ribosomal RNA, 676 nt
Filed under: uncultured bacterium
Lineage: Bacteria
Description: bacterial SSU rRNA
Rfam family: Bacterial small subunit ribosomal RNA
Source: RNAcentral